GGGGCCGUGGCGCAGUUGGGAGCGCGUUUGACUGGCAGUCAAAAGGUCACGGGUUCAAAUCCCGUCGGCUCCACUA
Molecule: transfer RNA, 76 nt
Filed under: candidate division TA06 bacterium B3_TA06
Lineage: Bacteria
Description: tRNA-Ala
Rfam family: tRNA
About the family: Transfer RNA (tRNA) molecules are approximately 80 nucleotides in length.
Source: RNAcentral